This 69-nucleotide transfer RNA is filed under the name Streptococcus pneumoniae. RNAcentral's name for it is "tRNA-Ile". The stretch from base 2 to 60 matches the Rfam family "tRNA", at positions 8 to 63 of the family's 71-position model. Rfam says of the family: Transfer RNA (tRNA) molecules are approximately 80 nucleotides in length. Their secondary structure includes four short double-helical elements and three loops (D, anti-codon, and T loops). Lineage: Bacteria; Bacillati; Bacillota; Bacilli; Lactobacillales; Streptococcaceae. The record is from RNAcentral.
GUAGCUCAGGUGGUUAGAGCGCACGCCUGAUAAGCGUGAGGUCGGUGGUUCGAGUCCACUAAAUUACCA